RNAcentral lists this transfer RNA (101 nucleotides) under Enhygromyxa salina. Its description in RNAcentral is "tRNA-Gly". The record is from RNAcentral. Lineage: Bacteria; Pseudomonadati; Myxococcota; Nannocystales; Nannocystaceae.
UCGAGCACUACUACAUGCAGCCGGAGGAGACCGCCUCCUACCAGGAGGUGCUCGGCGACCUCGAGCUCGACGACAUCGAGUUCGAAGACUCGAUGGACGAC